GAGAGACUUGUUGAAAUGCUCCGUGCCAUGAAGCAGAAGGCACUGUCAGCAGCAGUGGCCGACUCCUUGACAAACUCUCCGAGGGACAGUCCUGCCGUCUCCCUGAGUGAACCAGCCACACAGCAAGCCUCUCUGGAUGUGGAGAAGCCGGUUGGUGUUGCUGCUUCUUUGUCUGACAUCCCAAAGGCCGCAGAGCCUGGGAAGCUGGAACAGGUCCGGCCCCAGGAGCUGUCGAGAGUCCAGGAGCUAGCUCCUGCCAGCGGGGAGAAGGCCAGGCUGAGCGAGGCCCCUGGAGGCAAAAAGAGCCUGAGCAUGCUUCACUACAUCCGGGGCGCUGCACCCAAGGACAUUCCUGUGCCGCUGUCCCACAGCACCAAUGGGAAAAGCAAGCCAUGGGAGCCCUUUGUGGCAGAAGAGUUUGCACAUCAGUUCCACGAGUCAGUGCUGCAGUCCACCCAGAAGGCCCUGCAGAAGCAUAAAGGUAAUGAGGCUGCCAGUCCCUGCUCAGCUCUCGGCUGUGGUUGAGGCUGGCCAAAGUCCCUGAGCGCCACAGCUGCUCAGCUGUGGGCACAAGUUUUUAUAAACUCCAAUCACCAGAAGAAAAUAAUUUCGUUAUUUUGCCAAAACCAUGUUUGUUUGUUUUACUCCAAGCUCUAAAACCUGAACUCGUAGGUGAGAAACAUUUAUUUGUAGGCACCAGCACUGAUGCUGUGCUGUGAGCAGGGACGCAUCGAUCGGUAAGAGGUAAAGGA
RNAcentral lists this small RNA (752 nucleotides) under Pongo abelii (Sumatran orangutan). RNAcentral's name for it is "retained intron". Lineage: Eukaryota; Metazoa; Chordata; Mammalia; Primates; Hominidae. The record is from RNAcentral.